Molecule: long non-coding RNA, 986 nt
Organism: Humulus lupulus (European hop)
Lineage: Eukaryota; Viridiplantae; Streptophyta; Magnoliopsida; Rosales; Cannabaceae
Exons: 3
Source: RefSeq, a predicted model, not a curated record
UUCGUAGUUGCAGGUUCAUUGGCUGGUUCCCUCUUGUGCUUUCUCAAUGUAAUUUCUCUUCUCUACAAAAUUAUUGAAAUACCAUAGCCAUUAUUCAAUUCAUUUUAGUUAUAUUUAAGUAUAAGUUAUAGUGAUGAACAUAAGUGUAUUUGGUACUAUAUAUAGUACAUGAAUACUCAGACUAAAUUCAAUCUUUGUAGGGUUGCAUUUAUAUUGUUGAUGCAUAUAAAGGUUACUGGAGUAGCUGUGUUAAAGGGAUUCACGCUGGACAAAUGGUUCUGCGGCUAGUUGAAGCAAUUGGGUUGCCUACAAAAUAAUCAGACAACUCUGGAAUGGACUCUUUUUCCUUGGAUACAUAUUUGAAACCAAGAACUUGUUACUGCUUGGGUUGUCAUCUUGGCUUGCCUUGUCCAUGGGUUUGUUACAGUCUUAGUUGCUAGUGAAGCUCAUGCAAUAACUCUGGCUGUUGAGGGUUUGUUAGGAGUUGUGUUUACAGUGGCUGCAUUAACAGAUGAAGCAAUGGAUGUUGGUGAGGUAUUUUUUUUUUUUUUUUGCUAUAAGAGUUCUCUGAUAUGUCUACAAAUUAGUUUAUGAAUUUUGACCUAUAUCUAAUUUGUUCAUGAAAUUGUUUAAAAAUCAUGCUUUAAAGUUUAAUUAAGUGCUUGUUCUCUUUGUUUAAUUAACCCUGUUCAAUCCCCAAAUAACAUCCAGCCAUUUAUUAUAAUUCAGAGUUGUUUAAGUUCUUGGCACAAUGUUCCAGUGAUAUUUCAUUAUAAGUCUGUAAAAAUUAUAGUAUAGCAUUCAUUCAUUACCUGGGCUAAAUACAUGUUAGUUUGGAUUCCAAGUGGGUUAAUGAAAUCUUUUACAGGUCUUUGUUAAUUUUUAAGCAUCUCCAUUUUUUUUUUGUCUUUAGCACAUAUAAUCAUUAAGCUGUGCAAAAUAGCUAGUGGUAUGAGGUUCAUCUCAUCUGAUGUUCAUGCAUAUCU